AGACGUAGGGGGCAAGCGUUGUCCGGAAUUACUGGGCGUAAAGGGUGCGUAGGCGGCAUUACAAGUCUAAUGUGAAAUCCCCGUGCUUAACAUGGGGUUUGCAAUAGAAACUGUAAAGCUAGAGUACAGGAGAGGUAAGUGGAAUUCCUAGUGUAGCGGUGAAAUGCGUAGAUAUUAGGAAGAACACCAGUGGCGAAGGCGACUUACUGGACUGAAACUGACGCUGAGGCUCGAAAGCGUGGGGAGC
RNAcentral lists this ribosomal RNA (247 nucleotides) under uncultured bacterium. RNAcentral describes it as "partial 16S ribosomal RNA". It matches the Rfam family "Bacterial small subunit ribosomal RNA", at positions 523 to 769 of the family's 1533-position model. The record is from RNAcentral.